UUAAGUUCAGCGGGUAUUCUUGCUUGAGCUGAGGUCAUAAAAAAAAAUAUAUACUCGCACAAAACUUUAAAAGGCCAAGCACGCGCAUAAUAUAUUAAAGAUGGACAAGUUGUCAGCGAACCACACAUAUAGCACGUUUUCAACUUGUACCAAGUAAUAAAUAAUUUUAAAGUCACCAACAUUUAUUUUUUAAUAAUAAAUACUGGAAAACUCAAAUCCGCGAAAAAAUUCACGAAUGUUAUUUUAAUGACCCUCAACCAAGCAUACUUCCCAGAUUACUGAAAAGUACAAUUUGUGUU
This 299-nucleotide unclassified non-coding RNA is filed under the name uncultured Diversisporaceae. Its description in RNAcentral is "sequence contains 5.8S rRNA gene, ITS2, 28S rRNA gene". Lineage: Eukaryota; Fungi; Glomeromycota; Glomeromycetes; Diversisporales. The record is from RNAcentral.